AUCUAUGGCCAUGCUACCCUGAACAACAAGCUUGAUCCCAUCUGAUCUCGGAAGCUAAGCAGGGUCGGGCCUGGUUAGUACUUGGAUGGGAGACCGCCUAGGAAGACCAGCUGCUGUAGGUG
RNAcentral lists this ribosomal RNA (122 nucleotides) under Pteropus alecto (black flying fox). The record is from RNAcentral. Lineage: Eukaryota; Metazoa; Chordata; Mammalia; Chiroptera; Pteropodidae.